UUGAACGCUGGCGGCAUGCCUUACACAUGCAAAGUCGAACGGCAGCACGGGAGCAAUCCUGGUGGCGAGUGGCGAACGGGUGAGUAAUAUAUCGGAACGUGCCCGGUCGUGGGGGAUAACGUAGCGAAAGCUACGCUAAUACCGCAUACGAUCUACGGAUGAAAGCGGGGGAUCGCAAGACCUCGCGCGAUUGGAGCGGCCGAUAUCAGAUUAGGUAGUUGGUGAGGUAAAGGCUCACCAAGCCGACGAUCUGUAGCUGGUCUGAGAGGACGACCAGCCACACUGGGACUGAGACACGGCCCAGACUCCUACGGGAGGCAGCAGUGGGGAAUUUUGGACAAUGGGCGCAAGCCUGAUCCAGCAAUGCCGCGUGCAGGAUGAAGGCCUUCGGGUUGUAAACUGCUUUGUACGGAACGAAACGGUGAGCUCUAAUACAGUUUGCUAAUGACGGUACCGUAAGAAUAAGCACCGGCUAACUACGUG
This 483-nucleotide ribosomal RNA is filed under the name uncultured bacterium. RNAcentral describes it as "bacterial SSU rRNA". It matches the Rfam family "Bacterial small subunit ribosomal RNA", at positions 30 to 507 of the family's 1533-position model. The record is from RNAcentral.